CUUCAGCGAGCCCAGCCACAGGGGACGGUCCUCGGCACGGUCCUGGCCGUAGACGGCGAUCAGCGCCUGGGCCUC
Molecule: non-coding RNA, 75 nt
Organism: Streptomyces griseoruber
Lineage: Bacteria; Bacillati; Actinomycetota; Actinomycetes; Kitasatosporales; Streptomycetaceae
Source: Rfam